This 849-nucleotide ribosomal RNA is filed under the name Nigrospora vesicularis. RNAcentral's name for it is "eukaryotic LSU rRNA". It matches the Rfam family "Eukaryotic large subunit ribosomal RNA", at positions 68 to 944 of the family's 3401-position model. Lineage: Eukaryota; Fungi; Ascomycota; Sordariomycetes; Amphisphaeriales; Apiosporaceae. The record is from RNAcentral.
ACAGGGAUUCCCCUAGUAACGGCGAGUGAAGCGGGAACAGCUCAAAUUUGAAAUCUGGCCCUCGGGUCCGAGUUGUAAUUUGUAGAGGAUGCUUUUGGUGCGGUGCCUUCCGAGUUCCCUGGAACGGGACGCCUUAGAGGGUGAGAGCCCCGUACGGUUGGACGCCUAGCCUCUGUAAAGCUCCUUCGACGAGUCGAGUAGUUUGGGAAUGCUGCUCUAAAUGGGAGGUAUAUUUCUUCUAAAGCUAAAUACUGGCCAGAGACCGAUAGCGCACAAGUAGAGUGAUCGAAAGAUGAAAAGCACUUUGAAAAGAGGGUUAAAUAGCACGUGAAAUUGUUGAAAGGGAAGCGUUUAUCACCAGACUUUUUCUGGGGGGAUCAUCCGGUGUUCUCACCGGUGCACUUCCCCCAGUUGAGGCCAGCAUCGGUUUUCGGAGGGGGAUAAAAGCUUCGGGAAUGUGACUCCCUCGGGAGUGUUAUAGCCCGUUGCAUAAUACCCUUCUGGGGACCGAGGUUCGCGCAUCUGCAAGGAUGCUGGCAUAAUGGUGAUCAACGACCCGUCUUGAAACACGGACCAAGGAGUCGAACAUUUAUGCGAGUGUUUGGGUGUCAAACCCUCACGCGUAAUGAAAGUGAACGGAGGUGAGAGCCCUUACGGGUGCAUCAUCGACCGAUCCUGAUGUCUUCGGAUGGAUUUGAGUAAGAGCAUAACUGUUCGGACCCGAAAGAUGGUGAACUAUGCGUGGAUAGGGUGAAGCCAGGAGAAAUCCUGGUGGAGGCUCGCAGCGGUUCUGACGUGCAAAUCGAUCGUCAAAUCUGCGCAUGGGGGCGAAAGACUAAUCGAACCAUC